This 432-nucleotide ribosomal RNA is filed under the name uncultured Alphaproteobacteria bacterium. Its description in RNAcentral is "bacterial SSU rRNA". It matches the Rfam family "Bacterial small subunit ribosomal RNA", at positions 355 to 803 of the family's 1533-position model. Lineage: Bacteria; Pseudomonadati; Pseudomonadota; Alphaproteobacteria. The record is from RNAcentral.
GGGGGAAUCUUAGACAAUGGGGGCAACCCUGAUCUAGCCAUGCCGCGUGAGUGACGAAGGCCUUAGGGUCGUAAAGCUCUUUCGCUGGGGAAGAUAAUGACGGUAACCGGAGAAGAAGCCCCGGCUAACUUCGUGCCAGCAGCCGCGGUAAUACGAAGGGGGCUAGCGUUGUUCGGAAUUACUGGGCGUAAAGCGCACGUAGGCGGAUCGUUAAGUGAGGGGUGAAAUCCCAGGGCUCAACCCUGGAACUGCCUUUCAUACUGGCGAUCUUGAGUUCGAGAGAGGUGAGUGGAAUUCCGAGUGUAGAGGUGAAAUUCGUAGAUAUUCGGAGGAACACCAGUGGCGAAGGCGGCUCACUGGCUCGAUACUGACGCUGAGGUGCGAAAGCGUGGGGAGCAAACAGGAUUAGAAUACCCUGGUAGUCCACGCCGU